AAAAUAAUUAUAGGUUAAUUAGAUAUAUGUAUAUAUCAAAUAAUAAAGAGUUUAAAUAAUUUAAAUUAUUUAAUUAUGUAGUAUAAAAAGUAUAGAAUCAUUGUUAAUAAUAGAAAGUACUGUAAAGGAAAAUAAUAUAUUUAAUUUAUAGUAGAGUUUGAUUCUCGUACCUUUUGUAUAAUGGGUUGAUGAUAUAAAUUAAAUUUAUAAUAUAAUCUCGAAAUAAAAGGAUUUACUUGAUAGAUUUAUAUGUGUUGACGUUGUAUAGUCAUAUAAUUAAUAUUAAGUGGUAAUGAUAUAUUAAUCGAUUUUUAUGAUAGCUAGUUUAUUAGUUUACAAUAUUUAAGUAUUAUAAUAUUAAUAUAAUGUUUGAUUAAUUUAAUAUUAGUGUAUUAUAUGGGGGUAAGCUUCAUAUAAUUUUAUAGAAGGUUGUAUAUAAUUAUAGUUGAUUUAAGUAGAAUUAAUAAUGUUUUUCUUUAAAAGUAAUAAUAAAAUUAUAGAUAAGUAUAUAAAUUCAGGUUGUAUAAAUAACUAUAAAUGUUUAUAAAUUAAAUUUAAAUAUAUAUAAUGUUAAUAUGAGUAUAAGUUGGAAAAUUGGAGUAAUUUAUUUAUAUUUAUUUAAAUGUGAAUAAUUAAAAUAAAAUAAUUAAUUAAAUAAUAUAAAGGAAUUUGGCAAAUAAUAAUCUCGCCUGUUUAUCAAAAACAUGUCUCUUUGUAUUAUUUAUAAAUAAAGAGUCGGGCCUGCUCGGUGAUGAUUUUUAACAGCUGCGGUAUUUUAACUGUACUAAGGUAGCAUAAUAGUUUGCCUUAUAAAUUGAGGCUAGAAUGAAUGGUUUGACGAAGGUUUAUCUGUCUCUAUAUUAUUUAUUAGAAAUUGAUUUUUAAAGUGAAAAAGCUUGAAUUUUUUAAAGGGACGAGAAGACCCUGUUGAGCUUAAAUUUUUAUAUUAUUAAUAGUUGAAGUAUUAAUAAGAAAAUAAAUUUUAGUUGGGGUGAUUAAGGAAUAAAAUUAUAAUUUAAUAACUUCCUUAGAGUAUUAAGUUUAUUUGUAAAAAGUAACCAAUAAAUUUAUAUUGCUUUUAUUAUAGUUACCACAGGGAUAACAGCGUAAUUUGCUUAGAGAGUUCUUAUUAAAAAGUGAGUUUGCGACCUCGAUGUUGGAUUAAAAUAACCUUAAGGUGUAGAAGCUUUAGUAGGUAAAUCUGUUCGAUUUUUAAAAUUUUACAUGAUCUGAGUUCAGACCGGCGUGAGCCAGGUUGGUUUCUAUCUUUUAAAUUGUUAGGUUGUCUUUUUUAGUACGAAAGGACCAAAAAGAACUAAAAAUUUUAUUAUAUUUAAAUAAUUUAUUGUAAACAAAAUAUAAAUUAAGGUAUUAAU
RNAcentral lists this ribosomal RNA (1376 nucleotides) under Sepiadarium kochi. RNAcentral's name for it is "16S ribosomal RNA". The stretch from base 1098 to 1257 matches the Rfam family "Bacterial large subunit ribosomal RNA", at positions 2473 to 2632 of the family's 2925-position model. Lineage: Eukaryota; Metazoa; Mollusca; Cephalopoda; Sepiida; Sepiadariidae. The record is from RNAcentral.